Leucoraja erinaceus (little skate) is the source of this 987-nucleotide long non-coding RNA. RefSeq lists it as uncharacterized. The record is from RefSeq and is a predicted model, not a curated record. The transcript is spliced from 3 exons. Lineage: Eukaryota; Metazoa; Chordata; Chondrichthyes; Rajiformes; Rajidae.
AGGGUCGCCAGAUCCGCAAAAGCCCUCUUACCCGGGUAGGUCGCCAGAUCCGCAAAAGCCCUCUUACCCGGGUAGGUCGCCAGAUCCGCAAAAGCCCUCUUACCCGGGUAGGUCGCCAGAUCCGCAAAAGCCCUCUUACCCGGGUAGGUCGCCAGAUCCGCAAAAGCCCUCUUACCCGGGUAGGUCGCCAGAUCCGCAAAAGCCCUCUUACCCGGGUAGGGCGGCCAGAUCCGCAAAAGCCCUCUUACCCGGGUAGGUCGCCAGAUCCGCAAAAGCCCUCUUACCCGGGUAGGUCGCCAGAUCCGCAAAAGCCCUCUUACCCGGGUAGGUCGCCAGAUCCGCAAAAGCCCUCUUACCCGGCCGGGUAGGUCGCCAGAUCCGCAAAAGCCCUCUUACCCGGAUCUGGCGGCCAGAUCCGCAAAAGCCCUCUUACCCGGGUAGGUCGCCAGAUCCGCAAAAGCCCUCUUACCCGGGAAGGUCGCCAGAUCCGCAAAAGCCCUCUUACCCGGGUAGGUCGCCAGAUCCGCAAAAGCCCUCUUACCCGGGUAGGUCGCCAGAUCCGCAAAAGCCCUCUUACCCGGGUCUGGCGCCAGAUCCGCAAAAGCCCUCUUACCCGGGUAGGUCGCCAGAUCCGCAAAAGCCCCCUUACCCGGGUAGGUCGCCAGAUCCGCAAAAGCCCUCUUACCCGGGUAGGUCGCCAGAUCCGCAAAAGCCCUCUUACCCGGGUAGGUCGCCAGAUCCGCAAAAGCCCUCUUACCCGGGUAGGUCGCCAGAUCCGCAAAAGCCCUCUUACCCGGUGUAGGUCGCCAGAUCCGCAAAAGCCCACUUACCCGGGUACGUCGCCAGAUCCGCAAACGCCCUCUUACCCGGGCAGGUCGCCAGAUCCGCCAAAGCCCUCUUACCUGGGUAAGUCGGUCGCCAGAUCAGCCAAAGCCCUCUUACCCGGGUAGGUCGCCAGAUCCGCAAAAGCCCUCUUACCCGGGUAGG